This is a small nuclear RNA of Cavia aperea (Brazilian guinea pig), 105 nucleotides long. The record is from Ensembl. Lineage: Eukaryota; Metazoa; Chordata; Mammalia; Rodentia; Caviidae.
GCUCACUUCAGUAGAACAUAUACUAAAAUUGGAACAGUAUAGAGAAGAUUAGCAUAUUCCCUGCGCAACGAUGACACCCAAAUCUAUGAAGUGCUCCAUGUUUUU